This 254-nucleotide ribosomal RNA is filed under the name uncultured bacterium. RNAcentral describes it as "partial small subunit ribosomal RNA". It matches the Rfam family "Bacterial small subunit ribosomal RNA", at positions 26 to 286 of the family's 1533-position model. The record is from RNAcentral.
AGGACGAACGCUGGCGGCGUGCUUAACACAUGCAAGUCGAGCGGAAAGGCCCUUCGGGGUACUCGAGCGGCGAACGGGUGAGCAACACGUGAGUAACCUGCCCUGGACUUUGGGAUAACCCUCGGAAACGGGGGCUAAUACCGGAUACGACUUUCCUCGCAUGAGGUUUGGUGGAAAGUUUUUCGGUCUGGGAUGGGCUCGCGGCCUAUCAGCUUGUUGGUGGGGUGAUGGCCUACCAAGGCGACGACGGGUAG